RNAcentral lists this ribosomal RNA (808 nucleotides) under uncultured Mycobacterium sp. Its description in RNAcentral is "bacterial SSU rRNA". It matches the Rfam family "Bacterial small subunit ribosomal RNA", at positions 557 to 1362 of the family's 1533-position model. Lineage: Bacteria; Bacillati; Actinomycetota; Actinomycetes; Mycobacteriales; Mycobacteriaceae. The record is from RNAcentral.
GGCGUAAAGAGCUCGUAGGUGGUUUGUCGCGUUGUUCGUGAAAUCUCACGGCUUAACUGUGAGCGUGCGGGCGAUACGGGCAGACUUGAGUACUGCAGGGGAGACUGGAAUUCCUGGUGUAGCGGUGGAAUGCGCAGAUAUCAGGAGGAACACCGGUGGCGAAGGCGGGUCUCUGGGCAGUAACUGACGCUGAGGAGCGAAAGCGUGGGGAGCGAACAGGAUUAGAUACCCUGGUAGUCCACGCCGUAAACGGUGGGUACUAGGUGUGGGUUUCCUUCCUUGGGAUCCGUGCCGUAGCUAACGCAUUAAGUACCCCGCCUGGGGAGUACGGCCGCAAGGCUAAAACUCAAAGAAAUUGACGGGGGCCCGCACAAGCGGCGGAGCAUGUGGAUUAAUUCGAUGCAACGCGAAGAACCUUACCUGGGUUUGACAUGCACAGGACGCCGGCAGAGAUGUCGGUUCCCUUGUGGCCUGUGUGCAGGUGGUGCAUGGCUGUCGUCAGCUCGUGUCGUGAGAUGUUGGGUUAAGUCCCGCAACGAGCGCAACCCUUGUCUCAUGUUGCCAGCGGGUAAUGCCGGGGACUCGUGAGAGACUGCCGGGGUCAACUCGGAGGAAGGUGGGGAUGACGUCAAGUCAUCAUGCCCCUUAUGUCCAGGGCUUCACACAUGCUACAAUGGCCGGUACAAAGGGCUGCGAUGCCGCGAGGUUAAGCGAAUCCUUUUAAAGCCGGUCUCAGUUCGGAUCGGGGUCUGCAACUCGACCCCGUGAAGUCGGAGUCGCUAGUAAUCGCAGAUCAGCAACGCUGCGG